RNAcentral lists this ribosomal RNA (1119 nucleotides) under Latilactobacillus sakei. Its description in RNAcentral is "bacterial SSU rRNA". It matches the Rfam family "Bacterial small subunit ribosomal RNA", at positions 351 to 1461 of the family's 1533-position model. Lineage: Bacteria; Bacillati; Bacillota; Bacilli; Lactobacillales; Lactobacillaceae. The record is from RNAcentral.
GCAGUAGGGAAUCUUCCACAAUGGACGAAAGUCUGAUGGAGCAACGCCGCGUGAGUGAAGAAGGUUUUCGGAUCGUAAAACUCUGUUGUUGGAGAAGAAUGUAUCUGAUAGUAACUGAUCAGGUAGUGACGGUAUCCAACCAGAAAGCCACGGCUAACUACGUGCCAGCAGCCGCGGUAAUACGUAGGUGGCAAGCGUUGUCCGGAUUUAUUGGGCGUAAAGCGAGCGCAGGCGGUUUCUUAAGUCUGAUGUGAAAGCCUUCGGCUCAACCGAAGAAGUGCAUCGGAAACUGGGAAACUUGAGUGCAGAAGAGGACAGUGGAACUCCAUGUGUAGCGGUGAAAUGCGUAGAUAUAUGGAAGAACACCAGUGGCGAAGGCGGCUGUCUGGUCUGUAACUGACGCUGAGGCUCGAAAGCAUGGGUAGCAAACAGGAUUAGAUACCCUGGUAGUCCAUGCCGUAAACGAUGAGUGCUAGGUGUUGGAGGGUUUCCGCCCUUCAGUGCCGCAGCUAACGCAUUAAGCACUCCGCCUGGGGAGUACGACCGCAAGGUUGAAACUCAAAGGAAUUGACGGGGGCCCGCACAAGCGGUGGAGCAUGUGGUUUAAUUCGAAGCAACGCGAAGAACCUUACCAGGUCUUGACAUCCUUUGACCACUCUAGAGAUAGAGCUUUCCCUUCGGGGACAAAGUGACAGGUGGUGCAUGGUUGUCGUCAGCUCGUGUCGUGAGAUGUUGGGUUAAGUCCCGCAACGAGCGCAACCCUUAUUACUAGUUGCCAGCAUUUAGUUGGGCACUCUAGUGAGACUGCCGGUGACAAACCGGAGGAAGGUGGGGACGACGUCAAAUCAUCAUGCCCCUUAUGACCUGGGCUACACACGUGCUACAAUGGAUGGUACAACGAGUUGCGAGACCGCGAGGUUUAGCUAAUCUCUUAAAACCAUUCUCAGUUCGGAUUGUAGGCUGCAACUCGCCUACAUGAAGCCGGAAUCGCUAGUAAUCGCGGAUCAGCAUGCCGCGGUGAAUACGUUCCCGGGCCUUGUACACACCGCCCGUCACACCAUGAGAGUUUGUAACACCCAAAGCCGGUGAGGUAACCCUUCGGGGAGCCAGCCGUCUAAG